UGCCCUUGACAUCCUGGGAAGGUCCUGGAGACAGGACUGUGCCUUCGGGAACCCAGUGACAGGUGCUGCAUGGCUGUCGUCAGCUCGUGUCGUGAGAUGUUGGGUUAAGUCCCGUAACGAGCGCAACCCUUGUCCUUAGUUGCCAGCACGUAAUGGUGGGGACUCUAGGGAGACUGCCGGUGACAAACCGGAGGAAGGUGGGGAUGACGUAAGCCUAUCGAGA
Molecule: unclassified non-coding RNA, 223 nt
Filed under: uncultured Gammaproteobacteria bacterium
Lineage: Bacteria; Pseudomonadati; Pseudomonadota; Gammaproteobacteria
Description: contains 16S-23S intergenic spacer region
Rfam family: Bacterial small subunit ribosomal RNA
Source: RNAcentral